RNAcentral lists this ribosomal RNA (774 nucleotides) under uncultured bacterium. Its description in RNAcentral is "bacterial SSU rRNA". It matches the Rfam family "Bacterial small subunit ribosomal RNA", at positions 60 to 846 of the family's 1533-position model. The record is from RNAcentral.
AGUUGAGCGGAGAUAUAUGGAGCUUGCUUUAUAUAACUUAGCAGCGAACGGGUGAGUAACACGUAGAUAAUCUAUCCUAUACUGGGGGAUAGCCCGAUGAAAGUUGGAUUAAUACCGCAUAUAGCUAUAUAGUUGCAUGAUUAUGUAGUGAAAGAUUUAUUGGUAUAGGAGGAGUCUGCGGCACAUUAGCUAGUAAGUGAGGUAAAGGCUUACCUAGGCGACGAUGUGUAGCCGGUCUGAGAGGAUGAACGGCCACAAUGGAACUGAGACACGGUCCAUACUCCUACGGGAGGCAGCAGUGGGGAAUAUUGCACAAUGGGGGAAACCCUGAUGCAGCAACGCCGCGUGAGUGAAGAAGGUUUUCGGAUUGUAAAGCUCUGUUAGCAGGGAAGAGGAAGGACGGUACCUGCAGAAGAAGCCACGGCUAACUACGUGCCAGCAGCCGCGGUAAUACGUAGGUGGCAAGCGUUGUUCGGAAUAACUGGGCGUAAAGGAUGCGUAGGCGGUUAAACAAGUUAUAUGUUAAAUAUAUAGGCUUAACCUGUAGAAAGCAUAUAAAACUGUUUAACUAGAGUGCAGGAGAGGUAAGUGGAAUUCCUAGUGUAGCGGUGAAAUGCGUAGAGAUUAGGAAGAACACCAGUGGCGAAGGCGACUUACUGGACUGUAACUGACGCUGAGGCAUGAGAGCAUGGGGAGCAAACAGGAUUAGAUACCCUGGUAGUCCAUGCUGUAAACGAUGGGUACUAGGUGUGGGUUGUGAAUAACAAUUCGUGC